This 489-nucleotide long non-coding RNA is filed under the name Homo sapiens (human). RNAcentral describes it as "novel transcript". Lineage: Eukaryota; Metazoa; Chordata; Mammalia; Primates; Hominidae. The record is from RNAcentral.
GCAGGCCGCGUUGCGGACUGCCAGGCUCCGGCCCCGGCACCGGGAGGUGUUCCUGCUGCGCGGGAUCAAGGCCCAGGUGGCCCUGAGGCUGGCGGAGCUGGCGCGGCGGCGGAGGCAGCGGCAGGCACGGCGGAAGGCCGAGGCUGACAAGCCCCGAAGGCUGGGGCGGCUCAAGUACCAGGCACCUGACAUCGACGUGCAGCUGAGCUCGGAGCUGGCAGACUCGCUCAGGACCCUGAAGCCCGAGGGCGACAUCCUUCGAGGCCGGUUCAAGAGCUUCCAGAGGAGGAAUAUGAUCCAGCCUCGACAGAGAGCCAAGUUCAAACCCAGUGUGCAGUCCAUCUUCCAAGUUUCCAGAAGCGGCUGAGAUUUUUAAAAACAGCUGUAAUCUGCGGUCAUUGAUGGAUCCCCUGAAAUGCUGGGCACACUGACUAGCCUCUUGUAUAGAGUCUCAAGCCUGUGGCCAGAAGCAGCUGUGUGAAGUAGCCG